CUCUCCAUUAACGUUUCCUUCCCACAAAACUGGGUGCUCGCAGGGGAAGAACUGACAAGCCAAUCUUGUAUCCCAAGCACCUGACAGAUAUUAGAUAUUUAACAGUUAUUUGAUAAGCAAAUAAAGAAUAGGCUGACUAGAAUGGAAAAAUAAAGCUUCCCAACAAACACAAAAAUAAUCCCAAGCAACCUCGGCAAUCAUAAACUAACAACGACAGUAACCCCUGAACAAUAAUCAUGGAAACUUUUGCAGAAUGCCAGAGAAAGGCUUUCGGGGCAAUGCUUAGCUCUGUGAACUCUGCCUCCAGCACACGCGCACCUGGACGUAUGUGCUCACGUAGGCUGCGGGAACUGUGAAAACAGUUGUUACAAUUGCUCAGAGCGAUGAGCACUAGCCACGAGGCAGAACUGAGGAUGCAGAGAAACAGCACUGUUACGGGCACCUAACGAAUGAUCAAUCACUGAGCGGUAGCCGAUCAGAUGUCGUUGUGAUUUGUACCAGAAAUGCCUGGUUUUCUGGAUUCUGUAGCACCCAUCCACCUCUGGGAAAUCACAAUCCUGCUGAAACAGGGUCAGAGCCCCUCUGUUCCAGGCUGUCUCCAUUCCUUCCGGGCUCCUUGUGGAGCUAGAACCCCGCAAUCAUAUUUUCUUGGGUUAUCAAACAUCUCUUUCCUGUGGUCCCUGGAGGAAGCUGAUUGUGUCACUGAGUGACGCAAAGAGCACGCUGCAUUUCAACCCUUGGCGUCUUUCCUCCUCCGGAGCUUAGCUGUUCCCUUCCUGGUCUUCUAACACACUCUCUGCAUGGCCCGAGCCUACAGUCUGGAGACUCCGUCAGAAGAUAUUUCCUGCCUCUGCAUUUUCCCCAAGCCUUUCUUCUGAGCUACAUCCUCCAGCCCUUUCCUAGUGUUUAUCUUGAGACACUGUGAUAAGAGAUCAUGAAAUCAUCCCAGCUGACUUUGAGUUUGUGAUCCUCUCGCCUCAGCCUCCCACAGUGCUGUGAUUACAGAAGAAUUCAUGUGUGAUUCCAGGGUGAGUUCUCACCGCAGCAGGAACCUCUGCUACUCACACCACGGUGCCUUGGCCGCAGAUGUGCGGAGAAAUUCUCUGCACCCCAGAAUCCCUAACGUUCCCUGACACCCUUUGAUGUUCCGUCCCAGAGCCUCCUGCUAGUCCUUACAGUGUGCUCAGUGUACACAAACGACCUCGAGCCGUGUGGCAGCACUGAGAUGCACAGGGUCAGCCCUCGACCGACUAGACCCUAGUCCUGAGUGAUAAAUUCUCCAGCCUCCCACACAGCAGGUUCUUGGGAAAGCCUAGCGGAUCCAGCCUUGUGAGCUACAGCACCAAUCUUUUUUUUUUUAAGAGGAAAAAUCCCAGUAAAAACAAUGAUAGAUUUCUCAAAUGACCAAUGCUGAAUCUUGUUUCAUAUAUUUAUUUGCCAUUUGUAUUUCCUCAUCUGAGAAUUUUGUAUUCAUCUCCAAUGCCCAUUUGUGGGUUGGGAUUUUAAACUACACUGAGAUAUCAUCUCACUCCAGAAAGAAUGGCUAACAUCAAGAAAUUAACUAAUAAUAAAUGCUGGAAGAGCUGAGGAGAAAAAGGAACUCUUCUCCAGGGUUUGUGGGAGUACAGACUGGUGCAACCACUGUGGGAAUCGGUAUGCACAUUCCUCAAAGAACUAGGAUUAGAGGGCCCAUUGGAGCCAGCUAUUCCCCUUCUGGGUAUUUUCCCAGAAGAACUGAAACCAUCAUACCACAGCGAUAUAUGUGCACCCAUGUUUACAGCAGCACAACUUGUAAUAGCUAAAUCUUGGAAACAACCCAAAUGCCCAUCAACUGAGGUUUGGAUAAAAAAGAUGUGGUAUUUUUAUAUAAUGAAUACUACUUAGCCAUAAAGAAUAAUAAAAUCAAGGUUUUUAUUGGUAAAUGGAAGCAAGUAGAAACCAUAAUCAUUGGUGAAAUAAAUCAAACUUGUAUGUGUAAGCGCCUAUUAUCUUGCUAGUGUAAAAAACUGAAAGAGUAAAGAAGAUCCGAAUGUUACAAUAAAUAUAGUAACAGGGAAAGAAAAUACUCAAAGGGAAACUUUAUUGUUCGUUCUUGCAUGCCUGUCUCUGGUAACCUGAGCAAUUAAUUUGAGGAUAACAAUAUUCAAUAUAGCAACGAAUGAUAUCGUCUUGGUUUGGUAUCCUAUAUUGCCAUUUUUUGGUUGUUGUCAUUUUGUUUUUGUUGUUGUUGUUUAAUUGUUUGUUUGAGUGUUGAUUUUUCUGAUUUUUUUCUCUUUAAAAAAAGUUAAAAAAAUAAAAACAAUGAUACAAAAUUUCAAAACAAGAUAGUAAGAGUAACAAUGGUUAAUGCUUUGGAUAUUGUUUUCUUUAAAGUAGGUGCUCAGAUUACAAAGAUAUAGGCAUGAAAAAUUGAUAAAAUAAUAUAAGCACUAAACUUUCUUUUCAAUGAAGUAAUAGUAGUAUAACUACCUUAACUAUCGUGGAACAUAUGUGUGUAUGGGGUGUGUGUGUGUGUGUGUGUGUGUGUGUGUGUGUAACUUAUUUUUCCCUUCCUUUUUUUCUCCUUUCCCCCAUCCCAGUUUCUCUUUCUUUUUGAACAGUUCUUCCCAUUUCACAGUAUCCAUUGUGCAUUUUGAAUCUUAUUUACUGUUUCAGUUUCUUACACCAGGGAGACAAUAUUUACACAUGCAAGUCUGAUUGAUUUCACUUAUGAGUACAGUCUCAAGUUGCAUCCAUUUGCAUAUAAAAGUCUCAAGUUUGUUCCUCUUUAUGGCUGAGUAGUACUCCUUUGUAUAAAAAUACUGUAUCUUUUUUAAAAUCCAUUCCUCAGUUGGUGGACAUUUGGUUUGUUUCCAAGAUUUAGCUAUAAAAUUGCACAGCACUGAUCUUAAAUCGCACGCAUACUGAUUUUUCUUCGUUGCUGUUUGUUUUUCCAACCCCUUGCUCUCUGCUUCUGGAAAUCACCACCAAAUAAACCAGGGCUUUAAAAUGUCUU
Long non-coding RNA from Cavia porcellus (domestic guinea pig), 2995 nucleotides. RefSeq lists it as uncharacterized. The transcript has 2 exons. NCBI's taxonomy places the organism in Eukaryota, Metazoa, Chordata, Mammalia, Rodentia, Caviidae. The record is from RefSeq and is a predicted model, not a curated record.